This 146-nucleotide unclassified non-coding RNA is filed under the name uncultured Helotiales. RNAcentral's name for it is "sequence contains ITS2". The record is from RNAcentral. Lineage: Eukaryota; Fungi; Ascomycota; Leotiomycetes; Helotiales.
CAACCCUCAAGCAUUGCUUGGUAUUGGGCUCCGCUGCUCACCCAGCGGGCCUUAAAAUCAGUGGCGGUGCCGCCUGGCCCUGAGCGUAGUAAAUCUCCUCGCUAUAGGGACCUGGUGGACGCUGGCCAUCAACCCCCGCUUUCUAA